Camelus ferus (Wild Bactrian camel) is the source of this 72-nucleotide transfer RNA. It matches the Rfam family "tRNA". Rfam says of the family: Transfer RNA (tRNA) molecules are approximately 80 nucleotides in length. Lineage: Eukaryota; Metazoa; Chordata; Mammalia; Artiodactyla; Camelidae. The record is from Rfam.
GAGGGUAGAGCUCAGUGGUAGAGGGCAGGCUUAGCACGCACGAGGUCCUGGGUUCAAUCCCCAGUACCUCCA